ACUCCUACGGGAGGCAGCAGUGGGGAAUCUUGCGCAAUGGGCGAAAGCCUGACGCAGCGACGCCGCGUGGGGGAAGAAGGCCUUAGGGUUGUAAGCCUCUUUCAGCAGGGACGAAGCCACUCGGGUUAAUAGCCCAGAGGGUGACGGUACCUGCAGAAGAAGCCCCGGCUAACUACGUGCCAGCAGCCGCGGUAAUACGUAGGGGGCAAGCGUUGUCCGGAUUUAUUGGGCGUAAAGAGCGUGUAGGCGGCUAGAUAGGUCCGUUGUGAAAACUGGAGGCUUAACCUUCAGACGUCGAUGGAAACCAUCUGGCUAGAGUCCGGAAGAGGAGAAUGGAAUUCCUGGUGUAGCGGUGAAAUGCGCAGAUAUCAGGAAGAACACCCGUGGCGAAGGCGGUUCUCUGGGACGGUACUGACGCUGAGACGCGAAAGCGUGGGGAGCGAACAGGAUUAGAUACCCUGGUAGUCCACGCCGUAAACGAUGAGUGCUAGGUGUGGGGGGUGUCGACUCCCCCCGUGCCGAAGCUAACGCAUU
RNAcentral lists this ribosomal RNA (534 nucleotides) under uncultured bacterium. RNAcentral's name for it is "bacterial SSU rRNA". It matches the Rfam family "Bacterial small subunit ribosomal RNA", at positions 335 to 861 of the family's 1533-position model. The record is from RNAcentral.